UCACAGGUGACCUGCUAUCGAGAUAGCCAGAGGGUCAGGAGAGAAUGGGGGAGGAGGCGGUCAGGCUGCUGAGGAAACACCACAGGCUGAACGGGGGAGGAAUGCACAUGCCACGCUGGGUGUCCCGGGUCGCGGGGAGGCAGCUCAGCUCUUAGGAGCGAGUUGUGGGGGCUUUUCAAGAGGGGCCAGGCUUCCUGGAGGGUGACUGAUGUGGCCGAAGCAGGUGUCCAGGCAGGUAGGCUGCAGCCAGGAGCUCCCUGGCACUGCAGGACCUCGUGGUACUCUUGCCUUAGAUUUUACACACACUCCACAGCCAAGCACUGCCACGGUCCUCCAGGACCUGGGAAGCAAAGGCCCAGGCCCACGGUGGCCAGCCAUUGUGGUGCUGCCCCAGCUUCUGGAUACAGCCUUUUGGGUAAACACUGGGAACUCCAGAAGUUGUGGGGAGAGUGGGGAAUCAGACAGCCGCCUCUAGGGGCUGGGUUCUGCCGGGGCCUCCUUGUUGGUGCUGUAGGCACCCGCCAGGGAGCAGGGACCCGACUUGCAGACGCAUUGCCCGGUACUAGGAAGGAGUGAGGUGUGUUCCCACCAUACACUUCCCACACGAGCUGCGGCUGCCAGCCUCGGGCCAUCAGCCUAGGAGAGCAGAUGCAGCUCCAGGGGCUCGACUUAUAGCCAGUUACAGCUCCCCGGCUCUUCUGUGUGGCAGAGCGUCGUUUCGGGGCCCUCAGGGCUGGGGAGCUCAGUUCCCAUUGCUUGUGCUCAGGGCUGAGUCUUAAAGAAGGGUUUGCCGGCCCUAACGCUGCAGCGCGUGCGCGGUGAGAGGCCCUUUUUGAGCCUGUUUACUCCUGUGGCCUUGGGCAGAACAGUAAAUACUCUGUGCACGGAGGAAAGACAUGCCCAAGAGGAAGGAAGUACUGACCAUCGGCUGCCUGUGAGCAGCUUAGCAAGGAGCCCUUGCUCCCUGGGAAAGGCGGUGAACUUGAGUCUAAAGAUGCAGCGCCUGGCCCUUCCUAAGGUCCCUGCCUGGCAUCCGAGUGUCGGUGUGUGGCACAGAAGGCUCCUGCUUGCUUCCAAAGUGAUGGACAGGAAGGGGCAGAGUGAGUCACGGCCCAGACUGGGCACCUUCGCGUCUCAGCCUCAGGGAGCCCCACAGCCCCAAGCUCGCUGAGGCAACGUGAGAACAGGCUAUGGGAAGGCUGCAAAGGCUGAGAAAUGCAAAGGCUCAUAUUUAUAAAUCCCACCCCCAGAGUGGGGAGGGUCAGGUGCCAGACCUGGACUAAACUGCACCAAGGAAACACCCAGCAGGGUCUCCUGUGAGCCGGGGACCAUGCAGCCCGGAACCUCCAGUCACUGCGCCCGGCAGGAGUCAGGAGCCAGGGACUGUGCAGCCCGGGACCUCCAGUCGCUGUGCCCGGCAGGAGUCAGGCUAAGGUUUCUGCUGAUACACAGGUAGGAUGGGACCCUUCAUGAAUAUCUGACUUUAAUAAGUUGGUAAGGAUAUUUUUUUUGUCUAUGUUCUGUUUCAACUUAUGUAGAUUAUUAUAAAUUGAUGUAAACCACGUGAGAGGAAAAUGUUAAUAAAAAAUGCAAAGCCCCAACAUUUGCACAAAACUCAGCCCUGUGGUGUGGAUGUUUGUGUUCGCGGUGGUCCAGGGAAGCCACCAAUGUAAAUAUUUAACUCUUGCAGCUGCAUCCAGAUGUGAGUUUCCAGGAAUCUGUUUACCUAGUUCACUCCCCUUGAGCCUCCCUGUGGCCCACGGGGGCUGGGGCAGAGCUGCGGGGAGGUGAGCUGGAGCCCUCUCCUUGCUCUUCACAAAGGCCUCCGGAUCAGCCAGCAUCCAGGCUGCUUCUGGCUCGCCUUUGCCAUGUGCUGCUACAGUACAAAUGUCCCACCUGGGACCUGGCCAUCGGUGUGCCUUGAAAGUGGCAUGAAGUUGUCCACUGAACAGGAAGCGUCUUCUUUUAUGUAAACGCUUCUCAACGCUUUCCUUCAAAGUGGCAUAUCUUUGAGGCAGCCUUUUGGUCUAAUCUGCUUGUCAGAGAAGCUGGGUCUCCGAGGGCCCACCCUCCCUUUGAGAGAGUCAGUGGCGUGAAUAUUGGCUCCCACCAGCCGAAGCAACUGGACACUGAGUUUAUUCUGAAGAUCAGGAACAGAUGUCUCUGAAAAUUGCUGUUUGGUUUAUGAGCUCAUACUGGCUCCCCAGCCAUCGAAAACAGGAAACUAUUCAUCUCUCGAGUGAAUAGGCAGCGUGGACAAAGCCUCGCUUACUGAACCGAUGGCUACUGACAGCCCUGGCGCUCAUCUUUUCCAAGGCUGUUGUGAGGGCAGCAUCUCUUGUAUUUGGUCCCACGUGCUAGACUGAAAGAUGGAAGAUCCCAGGCAUCCUAGGACUUUGACAGGUACCAGGUGGGAAUGUCUGCCCUUGCUUCAGAGUGCUUGUAGGUGUCCUAUAUUUAGGGACAGCAGAGGAAACAAUUUGUUCUGAGCUCUAGGGAAUGCUCCAACUGGCCUAGCAGUGAUGAAGCCUCCUGGCUGUGAGACUGGGAGGGGCGUUAUAUAGAAUUCGCCGUAAAAGGACAUGAGCCCUGAGCAGGAACUCACAUUCAUUCCAAGAAAAUGGCAAACAUGACCCAAGGAAGGUGUUACCAGCUGGGUUUGACAUCAUCACUCAUGUACAAACACUCGGGCCUCCAGGCCAUGUACACUGAGUGUGAACGCUGGUUAAGAGCGUGUGGGCCAGAAGACAGGGCAGAUGAGGAAGAAGGCAAAAAAGGAAAGGACAGAGGAAUUACCGUAUUAUAGGAAAAAGGAGACUCAUCACCACUGGCUGAAGGUGCCCAGCACUGUGUGGCCCCCGCCAAGUGACCUGCCUGUGCCCCACCCAAGAGCAAAGGCCUGACUCCAGCAGUGUCAUCCCCCCACAGAGCACCAGGGUAAAGCAGCACCAGUGCUGAAGCCCAACUGUAGACGGAUUUUUUUUUUUUAAAAUAUCCAUGGCACACAACUAGGCCAAGAAAAAUACCACAAGGUGAAGUCGAAAACACGACAUGUUAAAACACUUCCUUGACCCUGGAGAACGAGGAUGGUGGUGAACAGCCCCUCAGCGACGUCUGAUCUUGGCCAGUAGCUGCUGUGACCGAGUCACCAAGAUGACCACAGCAGGACCCUUCACACGUGGCCUCAAGCUCGGCCAGGUCCAGCAGUCACGUCGUGAAACCAGUGUGUGCCUCUCGGCCGGCACAGGAGGGUUUUUCUACAAGGGGCCCAUCGAGUUCACGGAUGGGAUUUCACUGCAUCCCAGGAAAAGGCUGGGCUGGGCUUCCUGAGGCAGGCCCUGGCAGAUGUAAUGAUCUUGGUGAGGAUGACACAGACCUCUAACAACCCUGCCUCAGCGCCCCAUCCCCCGCUUCCCUGGGAGCUUUCUCAUUCUUUCCCUUCAGAUGUUAUCUUUGGGCCACCCGGCACUAUUUUUGGAAUAGGGAAUUUGAAAAUAAAAUACAAAUAAACCAACCUUUUGAACUGUAAGGUGUGUGGCGGUGGGGGAGGGGAGCGUAUUUUUAAAAAAAAACAAGGAUGACAGAACACAAAACAAGUGAGAUAAUUGGUUGGACGGCAUCAGUCCGCCUUGCCCUGCCCUGGUAUUCGAGACGGAUAGUUGCAUGGAGUUCCAAGGUAGAACAGCUUCCUGAGUGCCUGCAGAGACACUGUCACCUCUGUGCCCACAACACCAAACAACCUAGAGGGCCAGCUGUGGUCAGGCCUGAAGCUUUGUGGAGCUGAAUUCCUGUAUGUCAACAUCCUGUCUCCCGAUCUGCUGUGAGAGAAUCUGGCACGGGACGCCCUCUGUGAAGGCUGGCUGGAGUCCAGGAGCAGCAAAGUGUGGCUGCCCUGAAGGCUGGAGGCAGAGGAGCCAGGCAGCUCCCUCAGAAUACCAACGACAUGAGGGAAAAUGAAUGUCUUCAGGCCCUGAAGCAAGGCCCUGGUGUGGUACAGAAACUGUCCUCCAGAGAGCAGCCCGGAUCCGGGGCUGGCAUCAUCCUUCCCUGCAGGCAAUUACUCUCACCGGAGGUAAUAAUCAAUCGCAGCAGAGAAAGCAGCAAAACC
Molecule: long non-coding RNA, 4108 nt
Filed under: Pan troglodytes (chimpanzee)
Lineage: Eukaryota; Metazoa; Chordata; Mammalia; Primates; Hominidae
Description: long non-coding RNA NONPTRT007007
Source: RNAcentral